RNAcentral lists this unclassified non-coding RNA (359 nucleotides) under uncultured Leotiomycetes. RNAcentral's name for it is "sequence contains ITS2". The stretch from base 1 to 154 matches the Rfam family "5.8S ribosomal RNA". The record is from RNAcentral. Lineage: Eukaryota; Fungi; Ascomycota; Leotiomycetes.
AACUUUCGGCAACGGAUCUCUCGGUUCUGGCAUCGAUGAAGAACGCAGCGAAAUGCGAUAAGUAAUGUGAAUUGCAGAAUUCAGUGAAUCAUCGAAUCUUUGAACGCACAUUGCGCCCCUUGGUAUUCCGGGGGGCAUGCCUGUUCGAGCGUCAUUAUAACCAAUCACGCCUAGCGUGGACUUGGGGUUCGCGUCCCGCGGCCCUUAAAACCAGGGCGGUGCCCGCUGGGCUCUAAGCGUAGUAAUUUUCCUCGCUUUUGGGCCCCGCGGGUGCUCGCCACAACCCCUAAUUUUCUCAGGUUGACCUCGGAUCAGGUAGGGAUACCCGCUGAACUUAAGCAUAUCAAUAAGCGGAGGCU